GAUGAAGAACGUAGCAAAAUGCGAUAAGUAAUGUGAAUUGCAGAAUUCAGUGAAUCAUCGAAUCUUUGAACGCACAUUGCGCCCGCCAGCAUUCUGGCGGGCAUGCCUGUUCGAGCGUCAUUUCAACCAUCAAGCCCCCGGCUUGUGUUGGGGACCUGCGGCUGCCGCAGGCCCUGAAAACCAGUGGCGGGCUCGCUGUCACACCGAGCGUAGUAGAUUUUCAUCUCGCUCAGGGCGUGCUGCGGGUUCCGGCCGUAAAAAGCCUUAUUUACCCAAGGUUGACCUCGGAUCAGGUAGGAAGACCCGCUGAACUUAAGCAUAUCAAUAAGCGGAGGA
RNAcentral lists this unclassified non-coding RNA (336 nucleotides) under soil metagenome. Its description in RNAcentral is "partial contains 5.8S ribosomal RNA, internal transcribed spacer 2, and large subunit ribosomal RNA". The stretch from base 1 to 120 matches the Rfam family "5.8S ribosomal RNA", at positions 35 to 154 of the family's 154-position model. The record is from RNAcentral.